Molecule: ribosomal RNA, 420 nt
Filed under: uncultured bacterium
Lineage: Bacteria
Description: partial 16S ribosomal RNA
Rfam family: Bacterial small subunit ribosomal RNA
Source: RNAcentral
AUUUUGGACGAUGGGGGCAACCCUUAGCCAGCCAUGCCGCGGGUGUGAAGAAGGUCUUCGGCUUGUAAAGCACUUUAUGUUGGGAGGAAGGGCAGUAAGUUAAUACCUUGCUGUUUUGACGUUACCGACAGAAUAAGCACCGGCUAAGUUCGUGCCAGCAGCCGCGGUAAUACGAAGGGUGCAAGCGUUAAUCGGAAUUACUUGGCGUAAAACGCGCGUAGGUGGGUUGUUAAGUUGGAAGUGAAAGCCCCGGGCUCAACCUGGGAACUGCUUUCUAAACUGGCAAGCUAGAGUAUAGCAUAGGGUGGUGGCAUUUCCUGUGUGGCGGUGAAAUGCGUAGAUAUAGGAAGGAACACCAGUGGAGAAGGCGAACACCUGGGCUAAUACUGACACUGAGGUGCGAAAGCGUGGGGAGCAAAC